GAUGAAGAACGUAGCGAAAUGCGAUACGUAUUGUGAAUUGCAGAAUUCAGUGAAUCAUCGAAUCUUUGAACGCAUAUUGCGCUCUCUGGUAUUCCGGAGAGCAUGCUUGUUUGAGUAUCAGUAAACACCUCAACUUCCAUAUCUUUUUUGAAAUGGGAGUUGGACUUGAGUGAUCCCAACGCUUUUCCUCACCGAAAAGUGGCGGGUUACUUGAAAUGCAGGUGCAGCUGGACUUUUCUCUGAGCUAUAAGCAUAUCUAUUUAGUCUGCCUAAAAAACAGAUUAUUACCUUUGCUGCAGCUAACAUAAAGGAGAUUAGUUCUUGUGCUGACUGAUGCAGGAUUCACAAAGACAGGCUUCGGCCGACUUUGUAAACUCGAUCUCAAAUCAAGUAAGACUACCCGCUGAACUUAAGCAUAUCAAUAAGCGGAGGA
Molecule: unclassified non-coding RNA, 433 nt
Filed under: soil metagenome
Description: partial contains 5.8S ribosomal RNA, internal transcribed spacer 2, and large subunit ribosomal RNA
Rfam family: 5.8S ribosomal RNA (bases 1-120)
Source: RNAcentral